AGUGAACGCUGGCGGUAGGCCUAACACAUGCAAGUCGAACGGCAGCACAGUAAGAGCUUGCUCUUACGGGUGGCGAGUGGCGGACGGGUGAGGAAUACAUCGGAAUCUACUUUUUCGUGGGGGAUAACGUAGGGAAACUUACGCUAAUACCGCAUACGACCUACGGGUGAAAGCAGGGGAUCUUCGGACCUUGCGCGAUUGAAUGAGCCGAUGUCGGAUUAGCUAGUUGGCGGGGUAAAGGCCCACCAAGGCGACGAUCCGUAGCUGGUCUGAGAGGAUGAACAGCCAAAAUGGAAAUGAGAAAAGGGACAGACUCCCAAGGGAGGCAGAAGUGGGGAAUAAUGGACAAUGGGCGCAAGCCUGAUCCAGCCAUACCGCGUGGGUGAAGAAGGCCUUCGGGUUGUAAAGCCCUUUUGUUGGGAAAGAAAAGCAGCAGGUUAAUACCCCGCUGUUCUGACGGUACCCAAAGAAUAAGCACCGGCUAACUUCGUG
This 492-nucleotide ribosomal RNA is filed under the name uncultured bacterium. RNAcentral describes it as "partial 16S ribosomal RNA". It matches the Rfam family "Bacterial small subunit ribosomal RNA", at positions 29 to 507 of the family's 1533-position model. The record is from RNAcentral.